Molecule: unclassified non-coding RNA, 1183 nt
Filed under: Hevea brasiliensis (rubber tree)
Lineage: Eukaryota; Viridiplantae; Streptophyta; Magnoliopsida; Malpighiales; Euphorbiaceae
Source: RNAcentral
UUUUGCCAAAGCCUUCAUCUCUUCUACCAUGGCAGCUUUCCAUUUUAGACCAAGGUAUGCUUUCUUCCAAUCCUGAUAAAAACAGAAGAAACAGAUAAGACCAAGGCUUUAUAGGAAGGAGAUAAAGAAUAAUAAGAAACAAACUUGGAUAUGGGAUGUUUGGUGCAAGUCCUAACCCCUUUUCUAUGAGUAAUGGGUAUAUAAAGAUCAUCAGUGGAAGAAUUAGAAUCAGAUUGAGUAUCAAAAGGAUGAGUCUUACCACAUAAUUCUUCAGGCUCAGGAUGUGCAGGAGCUGAAUCCAGGGAUUCUGAUUGAUUAGGUGUAUCAUGCUUAAUGACUGUAUCUGUCGUGUCACGGUGAGUGUAAGUUCUUAAAUCAAUUCUAUUCAGUCUCUUUGUGGAUUGAGGAAUGAGGAGUAAUUGGCCUAUUCAGUCUCUAUGUGGGUUGAGGAGCAACAGGCUUAUCGUCACUACUUAGAUUAGGUUCAAGUCUAAGAAUCUCCCACUGAAAAGGAGUAGGGAAAGUAACCUCUUCCUUAUUAUUUUCCUUCUGAAGAGGUAACUAGAAAUAGGGUUUAGAUUCCCUAAAGGCUACAUCUAUGGUCACAAAAUAUUUUUUUGAAGGAGGAUGAUAACAUUUAUUACUUUUUUUGAGUUCUAGAAUAACCCACAACACAUAUUAGUGCUCUAGGUUCUAAUUUCCCGACAUGUGACCUAUGAACAAAGCAAACAUACCUAAACACUUUUUGAGGAACAAUAUAAGAACUCUUAACUUUAAGAAUUUUCAAAUCACUCUUAAAGUUUAGUGUGUGAAGGGGCAUCCAAUUGAUAAGAUAUGCUAUAGAAAGAACAGCAUCCCCCUAGUAAAACUUGGGAAGAUUUAUUGUGAACAUAAGGGAUCUAGCCACUUUUAAGUAAAUGCCUAUUUUUCUUUUCAGACAAUCAAUUUUGUGCACUAGUAUUUACACAACUAGUUUGAUGUAGGAUCUCAUGUGAAUCUAAAUAAGACUGAAAAGCUUUGUUCAUAUAUUCUGUCUCAUUAUUAGUUCUUAGAAUUUUGACCUGUUAAUCAAACGAGUGCAAAUCAUUUCAUGAAAUUGUUGAAAAUAUGAAAAUACUUCAUUCUUAGCUCUCAACAAAUAAACUCAAAUCAAUCUAGUACAGUGUUAUCAAGGCGAAAGGCG